CGCCACCAGCUAGCCCAUCAAAUAUACUAAUCGCCUUUCCCCCCCCCCCCCAACUAAAACAUUCAACAAACCUAGUAUAAGCGACAGAAAAGAAACAAUGACGCAAUAGCAAAACAGUACCGUAAGGGACCGAUGAAAAAUAAAUUAAACAAUUAAAGCACAACACAGCAAGGAUAACCCCCCGUACCUUUUGCAUCAUGGUUUAGCAAGUAAUAGCAGAUAUAGAGUGCUUCAAUCUGAUUACCCGAAACCAGACGAGCUACCUUAUAGCAAUCUAAAGGAUAAACCCGUCUCUGUGGCAAAAGAGUGGGAAGACUAUAAGAUAGAGGUGAAACGCCUACCGAGCCUGGUGAUAGCUGGUUGCUCAUAAAAUGAAUUUAAGUUCAACUGCAGGACUAACUAAACUACACAAAAAUACCCACGACACCCCUGCAAGCUAUACAAUAAGGGUACAGCCUUAUUGUAACUGGGUACAACCAAAACUAGAGGAACAGCACACCAAACAAUAAUACUAGUAGGCCCUAAAGCAGCCAACAAAAAAGACCGCGUCACAGCGCAAAUAUAUACUAAUAUAAAUAGGCACCACAACCCCCUAUGAACACAUUGAGCUACCCUAAACUAUUAUUAGGGGAAACACUGCUAAAACUAGUAAUAAGAAAAAAUUCUCUACUGGCACAACCUCAACUCAGCACUAGAUAAACUACUGAAAACUAACAGCCCAAAAACUGGUCUAAACACACACACCAAGACAUCUGAAACAUAAAACUGUUACACCAACACAGGAGUGCCCUAAAGACCGAUUAAAAGCCAUAAAAGGAACUCAGCUAACAUGCCCCAACUGUUUACCAAAAACAUAGCCUUUAGCCAAUUCAAGUAUUAAAGGUUCUGCCUGCCCAGUGAUAUAUUUUAACGGCCGCGGUAUCCUAACCGUGCAAAGGUAGCGUAAUCAUUUGUCCCUUAAAUAGGGACUGGUAUGAAUGGCUAAAUGAGGGUAUAACUGUCUCCUAUGGCCAAUCAAUGAACCUGAUCUUCCAGUACAAAAGCUGGAAUGCACACAUAAGACGAGAAGACCCUGUGGAGCUUAAAACAAUAGUACCACCAAAAUUAACAAACCUAAUAGGCCACACUGAAAUACACACUGGUACCAGUUUUCCGUUGGGGCGACGUCGGAAUAAAACUAAACUUCCGAGCCACAAAUUAACACCAUAUCAAGACCUACAAGUCAAAAUAAAUAACCAACUUGACCCAGUACUACUGAUAAUCGAACCAAGUUACCCCAGGGAUAACAGCGCCAUCCUCUUUAAGAGCCCAUAUCGCCAAGAGGGUUUACGACCUCGAUGUUGGAUCAGGACAUCCAGGUGGUGCAGCCGCUACCAAUGGUUCGUUUGUUCAACGAUUAACCAGUCCUACGUG
This 1413-nucleotide ribosomal RNA is filed under the name Aristelliger barbouri (Striped Caribbean gecko). Its description in RNAcentral is "partial 16S ribosomal RNA". It matches the Rfam family "Bacterial large subunit ribosomal RNA", at positions 274 to 2602 of the family's 2925-position model. The record is from RNAcentral. Lineage: Eukaryota; Metazoa; Chordata; Lepidosauria; Squamata; Sphaerodactylidae.